This 1198-nucleotide long non-coding RNA is filed under the name Brassica rapa (field mustard). RNAcentral describes it as "long non-coding RNA (BRAP_LNC001468)". The record is from RNAcentral. Lineage: Eukaryota; Viridiplantae; Streptophyta; Magnoliopsida; Brassicales; Brassicaceae.
UUGAGAAGGAUACAAUGCUUAUCUUCAUCAACAUCUGCAUAAAUUUUUUGAUCAAAUUACCCAUACUGUAUUAGCUUUGAUGUCUUGUUUUUUUUUUAUCCAUGAUGUUUCUUGAAAUCUUACUGUUUUGAAUAAAACCGAAUCAGGUACCGAAGAAAGCAGGAACAUCUAGAAAGUAAACAGGAUUGGGGCAAAUACCAAUUUUAGAGUUUGUAAGUUGAUUAUGUCAAUGAAUAAUUUACAAUCUUUUAGACACAUAUUUAUUCAACUUCAAAACCAGAUAUUUAUUUUCUUUUUAGAAAAUCAGCUAAAAAUGCUUUUUUUUUCCUUAAUCUUAAAAGGAAUAUUGGUCUUUUACUGGUGGACUGAAAUUUAAAUCAUUUUCAGAAUCAACACUUACCUCUAGAGAAGGUUUAAUGGAGUGUGGAUAAGAUCACUUUGGGUUAAUUUCAGUCUUUCCCAUAAUGAGUUGGCUACAAAGACAUACAUCUUCUUUGCAUUUAUUCUCUUAGCAAGGCCCUUUGGUUCUUAAGUUUCACUCACAUCACUUCAUACCUAUAUUCAAAGAAACAGUUAUGGGUUUUUGUCUGCUUUGCCUUUAUCACAGACAAACAAUGGCCUUUAGGGUCAUGAUCUUUGGAUAUAUUAGGUAAAAUGACACUUUCAUUAUUUAAGUUUCCUCAUUAAUAGCUCUUUCUGACAAACGUUUGAUUUAUAACCCUUUGAAGCUAAUUGACAAAACUUUUUUCUCUCUAAAAAAUAUAACAAAACGUGGUGGAGCCAAUGUUUUAUAAUUGUCUAAUCAUUUUUGCUGCAUUCCGGAUCUGUGUUUUUAACUUGAUUAAAAUGCUGUUUUUUUGACUUUCUAACCAAAUUCCACUUUUUGAGUUUUCUUUUGUGAUCAAGAACACGACAAGACAUUACAUAAGUUUUACAAUUUUACUGAAAAUUUUCUUCGUGUUUCCAAACUCUUAGGUUUAGUAGUCUCCAUUGGGAAUCUUGGAACAUAACUUGGGGAUGUCUUGUUCUUGUUCUUGUUCAUGCUACUUCUUCUCUCUGAAUCACCAGACACCAUAACAGACUUAUAACCCUUGCAGCUCAACAAGAAACCACCACUUCUGCUGCCGCUAUUCGUUUUCCGAAUCUGCGGUGCAUUUUUGGUAGGGACCCGAGGAAUAUGAGAAGAGCGGUUUCUUCU